AUUGAACGCUGGCGGCAUGCCUUACACAUGCAAGUCGAACGGCAGCGGACCUUCGGGUGCCGGCGAGUGGCGAACGGGUGAGUAAUAUAUCGGAACGUACCUUUCAGUGGGGGAUAACGUAGCGAAAGUUACGCUAAUACCGCAUAUUCUGUGAGCAGGAAAGCAGGGGGUCGCAAGACCUUGCGCUGAUUGAGCGGCCGAUAUCAGAUUAGCUAGUUGGUGAGGUAAAGGCUCACCAAGGCGACGAUCUGUAGCGGGUCUGAGAGGAUGAUCCGCCACACUGGAACUGAGACACGGUCCAGACUCCUACGGGAGGCAGCAGUGGGGAAUUUUGGACAAUGGGCGCAAGCCUGAUCCAGCCAUGCCGCGUGAGUGAAGAAGGCCU
Molecule: ribosomal RNA, 385 nt
Filed under: uncultured bacterium
Lineage: Bacteria
Description: bacterial SSU rRNA
Rfam family: Bacterial small subunit ribosomal RNA
Source: RNAcentral